UGUCAAACUACCUACCUACGAGCUACGACUGUGUUAUUGCAAUAAAAAUAAAUAAUACUUUAACCAUAUGCGACUCAUGUUCUCGUCGACGUUUGAGUAACACAAAGAGGACCUAAUUGUUGAUGUACUGCUCGUCUGCAAUAUGUUUUUCUGUAUUCUAAUUUACAUAGCUCCAAGUUAUUCUUUGUGUUGUUUUCCGCCAUGUUCCAAGACCUCAAGGACAAACUAAAUGUAUAAAUAUUAACGAAAUAAAAAAACUGUAUCAGUGCGAUUGCUCAAUCUAAGGGAGGUAGAAGCAUCUCCACCUUCAAUACUCUACAUUACCACAACUGUUAUUAACCUAAAAUGUUUGCUAAGUUGAUUAUCCUCUUCACUAUUGUUGCCCUAGCUAUGGCUCGGCCGCAGCUAUACUCCGGGUACGGCUAUAAUAAUUACCCGGCUAGCUAUCCAGGAUAUGCUGGUUAUUCCGGCUAUUCCAAUCCGGUAGCUUACUCUGGAGGAUACGGAGGAUAUUCGGGCUACCCUUACAAUUACGGCUAUGGGUAUUACUGAUUGAAAACAUAAAAUUACUUUUUUACCAAUGUUACCUUUAUGUUAAAUAUUGACAUUUCCUUUUUGAUUUCAUUUAUUUUCAUUUUAAGAAUAAAAUAAAUAUGUAUUUAAUGAU
Vanessa tameamea is the source of this 667-nucleotide long non-coding RNA. RefSeq lists it as uncharacterized. NCBI's taxonomy places the organism in Eukaryota, Metazoa, Arthropoda, Insecta, Lepidoptera, Nymphalidae. The transcript has 2 exons. The record is from RefSeq and is a predicted model, not a curated record.